GGAGGGUUACCCAAGUCUGGCUCGAGGGAACGAUUUCUUAUGAGAUUGUAGGUCGGGAAACCGGCGCGUGUGGUUUAAAUCCCACACCCUCCU
This 93-nucleotide transfer RNA is filed under the name Weissella minor. Its description in RNAcentral is "tRNA-OTHER". The record is from RNAcentral. Lineage: Bacteria; Bacillati; Bacillota; Bacilli; Lactobacillales; Lactobacillaceae.